AGUAACUGCGAGUGAAGCGGGAAAAGCUCAAAUUUAAAAUCUGGCAGAUGUUUGUCUGUCUGAGUUGUAACCUAGAGAAGUGUAACCUGUGCUGGACCGUGUACAAGUCUCCUGGAAUGGAGCAUCAUAGAGGGUGAGAAUCCCGUCUUUGACAUGGACUACCAGUGCACUGUGGUUGCACACUCAACGAGUCGAGUUGUUUGGGAAUGCAGCUCUAAAUGGGUGGUAAAUUCCAUCUAAAGCUAAAUAUUGGCGAGAGACCGAUAGCGAACAAGUACCGUGAGGGAAAGAUGAAAAGAACUUUGGAAAGAGAGUUAAACAGUAUGUGAAAUUGUUGAAAGGGAAACGCUUGAAGUCAGCUGCAUUAGCUGGGGAUCAAGCCAGCUAUUUUGCUGGGUGUACUUCCUGGUUGAUGGGCCAACAUCAGUUUUGACCAUCAGAGAAAGGCUAAGGGAAUGUGGCACCUUUAUAGGUGUGUUAUAGCCCUUGGUUGUAUGUGAUGGUUGGGACUGAGGACAGCAGCGUGCCGCAAGGCCGGGCUUUGACCACGUUCACGCUUUGGAUGUUGGCAUAAUGGCUUUAAGCGACCCGUCUUGAAACACGGACCAAGGAGUCUAACAUGCAUGCGAGUGUUUGGGUGGAAAACUCGAGCGCGUAAUGAAAGUGACAGUUGAGAUCCCUCUCACAGGGGAGCAUCGACGCCCGGACCAGAACUUUUGGGACGGAUCUGCGGUAGAGCAAGCAUGUUGGGACCCGAAAGAUGGUGAACUAUGCCUGAAUAGGGUGAAGCCAGAGGAAACUCUGGUGGAGGCUCGUAGCGAUUCUGACGUGCAAAUCGAUCGUCGAAUUUGGGUAU
Molecule: ribosomal RNA, 856 nt
Filed under: Amanita suballiacea
Lineage: Eukaryota; Fungi; Basidiomycota; Agaricomycetes; Agaricales; Amanitaceae
Description: eukaryotic LSU rRNA
Rfam family: Eukaryotic large subunit ribosomal RNA
Source: RNAcentral